RNAcentral lists this transfer RNA (73 nucleotides) under Scleropages formosus (Asian bonytongue). RNAcentral describes it as "tRNA-Lys". Lineage: Eukaryota; Metazoa; Chordata; Actinopteri; Osteoglossiformes; Osteoglossidae. The record is from RNAcentral.
UCCCUGGUAGUCUAGUGGCCAGGAUUUGGUGCUCUUGCCACCACGGCCUUUGGUUCAGUUCCUGGUCAGGAAA